Molecule: ribosomal RNA, 500 nt
Filed under: uncultured Glomeromycotina
Lineage: Eukaryota; Fungi; Glomeromycota
Description: partial small subunit ribosomal RNA
Rfam family: Eukaryotic small subunit ribosomal RNA
Source: RNAcentral
CCAAUAGCGUAUAUUAAAGUUGUUGCAGUUAAAAAGCUCGUAGUUGAAUUUCGGGAUCGAUACGUCGGUCGUGCCUUCGGUACGUACUAUCGUCAUCGAUUUCUCCCUUCUGACGAACCAUGAUGUCAUUAAUUUGGUGUUAUGGGAAAUCAGGACUGUUACUUUGAAAAAAUUAGAGUGUUUAAAGCAGGCAUUAGCUUGAAUACAUUAGCAUGGAAUAAUGAAAUAGGACGUUCGAACCUAUUUUGUUGGUUCUUAGGAUCAACGUAAUGAUUAAUAGGGAUAGUUGGGGGCAUUAGUAUUCAAUUGUCAGAGGUGAAAUUCUUGGAUUUAUUGAAGACUAACUACGGCGAAAGCAUUUGCCAAGGAUGUUUUCAUUAAUCAAGAACGAAAGUUAGGGGAUCGAAGACGAUCAGAUACCGUCGUAGUCUUAACCAUAAACUAUGCCGACUAGGGAUCGGAUGAUGUUAAUUUUUUAAUGACUCAUUCGGCGCCUUACG